RNAcentral lists this non-coding RNA (25 nucleotides) under Mus musculus (house mouse). Lineage: Eukaryota; Metazoa; Chordata; Mammalia; Rodentia; Muridae. The record is from RNAcentral.
UAAGUAAAUGCUGCUCUCUGCUCUC